Molecule: microRNA precursor, 59 nt
Filed under: Limulus polyphemus (Atlantic horseshoe crab)
Lineage: Eukaryota; Metazoa; Arthropoda; Merostomata; Xiphosura; Limulidae
Description: Lpo-Novel-3_pre stem-loop
Source: RNAcentral
AUUCAUAGCAGCCUCUCAUGUGAAUUUUAAAGGAUUACAUGAGAAGCUGCUCUGAAUGA